RNAcentral lists this long non-coding RNA (313 nucleotides) under Brassica napus (rape). Its description in RNAcentral is "long non-coding RNA (BNAP_LNC022779)". Lineage: Eukaryota; Viridiplantae; Streptophyta; Magnoliopsida; Brassicales; Brassicaceae. The record is from RNAcentral.
CCUUGAGAUCUCAGGUACAGAACUGGCAAGACUUCUUGCUGCAUUGUAAUGCUGAUCAGAACCCAUUUCCCAUAGAGCUGGAUUAUCUAGUUGUGGCUGAAAGUAUCCCAAGAACAUGUAGUAAGUGACAUGUCAGAUACAUUUUUCAUACCAGAUGGCUUAGAGAGAGAAAAGAUUAAGCCAGCCUACAAGUUAAUCGCAUCUUGCUUUUCAGCAUCCAUAUAAGCGUUACUGUAGUAACGUUGCAAUGUUCUGAAUAACUCUUGCGACUGAGUAGCCGCUUUCCACUGACCACGCCUUUCACAAAAUAUCU